Molecule: ribosomal RNA, 407 nt
Filed under: uncultured bacterium
Lineage: Bacteria
Description: partial 16S ribosomal RNA
Rfam family: Bacterial small subunit ribosomal RNA
Source: RNAcentral
AUUGAAAGCUGGCGGCAGGCCUAACACAUGCAAGUCGAGCGGAGCGGCGGACGGAUGAGUAAUGCCUAGGAAUCUGCCUGGUAGUGGGGGAUAACGUCCGGAAACGGGCGCUAAUACAGCAUACUAUCAGAUACGACUAGGUCGGAGUAGCUAGUUGGGGGGGUAAAGGCCUACCAAGGCGACGAUCCGUCACUGGUCUGAGAGGAUGAUCAGUCACACUGGAACGGAGACACGGUCCAGACUCCUACGGUAGGCAGCAGUGGGGAAUAUUGGACAAUGGGCGAAAGCUUGAUCCAGCCAUCCCGCGUGUGUGAAGAAGGUCUUCGGAUUGUAAAGCACUUUAAGUUGGGAGGCGUUACCAACAGAAUAAGCACCGGCUAACUUCGUGCCAGCAGCCGCGGUAAUAC